Molecule: ribosomal RNA, 502 nt
Filed under: uncultured bacterium
Lineage: Bacteria
Description: partial 16S ribosomal RNA
Rfam family: Bacterial small subunit ribosomal RNA
Source: RNAcentral
ACUCAAAGGAAUAGACGGGGGCCCGCACAAGCGGUGGAGCAUGUUGUUUAAUACGUCACUAACCGUAGAACCUUACCAGGGUUUGACAUGCGCCGAAACGCCAUGAAAGUGGCAUUCCCCUUAAAAGGACGGCGACACAGGUGUUGCAUGGCUGUCGUCAGCUCGUGUCGUGAGAUGUUGGGUUAAGUCCCGCAACGAGCGCAACCCUCAUCCCAUGUUGCCAGCGGUUCAAGCCGGGAACUCUUGGGAAACUGCCGGGGUAACUCGGAGGAAGGUGAGGAUGACGUCAAGUCAGCAUGGCCCUUACACCCUGGGCUACAAACAUGCUACAAUGGACGGUAGACAAAGGGAUCCGAUGCCGCGAGGUGGAGGCAAUCUCAAAAAUCCGUUCUCAGUUCGGAUCGCAGGCUGCAACUCGCCUGCGUGAAGCCGGAAUCGCUAGUAACCGCAGGUCAGCUAAACUGCGGUGAAUCCGUUCCCGGGCCUUGUACACACCGCCCGU